GCGCGCGUGUUUUAUACUGACAGCUAAAUUCCAGGAUAAAUUGUUAUUUUUCAAACUUUAAAAGUUAUUCACGGCACAUAUUUCUGUUGUGAUAUGGUUUGUAUUGUGCUUUAGUUUGUAUAUCUAAGUUAUCUAACUCAUUUUUGUUCAGUUUUGGUAUUAAAUACGGUUUAAAAUGUCUUUUGACAGUUUGUUUACGUUUGCUAUUUUU
RNAcentral lists this long non-coding RNA (211 nucleotides) under Paramuricea clavata. Lineage: Eukaryota; Metazoa; Cnidaria; Anthozoa; Malacalcyonacea; Plexauridae. The record is from RNAcentral.